AGCUUUGCUCAGUGGCAGUAUCGUAGCCAAUGAGGUUUAUCCGAGGCGCGAUUAUUGCUAAUUGAAAACUUAAACUGGCAUUUUCAAACCUUAUUUGGGAACAAAAACAACUUUCAUUUUUUCAAGUGUGGCAUAUAGCACA
Molecule: small nuclear RNA, 142 nt
Organism: Lutra lutra (Eurasian river otter)
Lineage: Eukaryota; Metazoa; Chordata; Mammalia; Carnivora; Mustelidae
Product: U4 spliceosomal RNA
Exons: 1
Source: RefSeq, a predicted model, not a curated record